UACGUAGGUGGCGAGCGUUGUCCGGAAUUACUGGGUGUAAAGGGCGUGUAGGCGGGUUUGAAAGUCAGAUGUGAAAGCCCAUGGCUUAACCAUGGAACUGCAUCUGAAACUUCAGAUCUUGAGUACUGGAGAGGAAAGCGGAAUUCCUAGUGUAGCGGUGAAAUGCGUAGAUAUUAGGAGGAACACCAGUGGCGAAGGCGGCUUUCUGGACAGAAACUGACGCUGAGGCGCGAAAGCGUGGGGAGCAAACAGG
This 253-nucleotide ribosomal RNA is filed under the name uncultured bacterium. RNAcentral describes it as "partial 16S ribosomal RNA". It matches the Rfam family "Bacterial small subunit ribosomal RNA", at positions 524 to 776 of the family's 1533-position model. The record is from RNAcentral.